ACGAGCCAAACACGAGCGAGCUAGAAUGGGUUGAACACGAGCUAACUCAUUAAAAUAUCAAGCUGAAAAUCCAGCUCGUGUUCGACUUAUUUGUUAACAAGUCAAAAACGAGCUGGCUUGUGAAAGACAAGUUAGAUUGCCAGCUGGCUUGUGAAAAUUAGAAUCUUUAUCUAAUAAUUAAAAUUUAUAAAAUAUAUAUAGGUCAUUUUAUAGUUGGGUUGACCUAAAAUCCAAAUAAGAGAAAUUCAAUUUGUAUUCGGUUCGUUUAUUAAAGGAAUGACCAAUGUGGAGCUCAUUUCGAGCCGAGCAUUAUCUGGUUCGCGAACAACGAACUUGAUUGU
RNAcentral lists this long non-coding RNA (341 nucleotides) under Ananas comosus (pineapple). RNAcentral's name for it is "long non-coding RNA (ACOM_LNC020706)". Lineage: Eukaryota; Viridiplantae; Streptophyta; Magnoliopsida; Poales; Bromeliaceae. The record is from RNAcentral.